Molecule: ribosomal RNA, 492 nt
Filed under: uncultured bacterium
Lineage: Bacteria
Description: partial 16S ribosomal RNA
Rfam family: Bacterial small subunit ribosomal RNA
Source: RNAcentral
AGUGAACGCUGGCGGUAGGCCUAACACAUGCAAGUCGAACGGCAGCACAGUAAGAGCUUGCUCUUACGGGUGGCGAGUGGCGGACGGGUGAGGAAUACAUCGGAAUCUACUUUUUCGUGGGGGAUAACGUAGGGAAACUUACGCUAAUACCGCAUACGACCUACGGGUGAAAGCAGGGGAUCUUCGGACCUUGCGCGAUUGAAUGAGCCGAUGUCGGAUUAGCUAGUUGGCGGGGUAAAGGCCCACCAAGGCGACGAUCCGUAGCUGGUCUGAGAGGAUGAUCAGCCACACUGGAACUGAGCCACGGUCCAGACUCCUACGGGAGGCAGCAGUGGGGAAUAUUGGACAAAGGGCGCAAGCCUGAUCCAGCCAUCCCGCGUGGGUGAAGAAGGCCUUCGGGUUGUAAAGCCCUUUUGUUGGGAAAGAAAAGCAGCAGGUUAAUACCCCGCUGUUCUGACGGUACCCAAAGAAUAAGCACCGGCUAACUUCGUG